RNAcentral lists this ribosomal RNA (545 nucleotides) under uncultured bacterium. RNAcentral describes it as "bacterial SSU rRNA". It matches the Rfam family "Bacterial small subunit ribosomal RNA", at positions 355 to 891 of the family's 1533-position model. The record is from RNAcentral.
UGGGGAAUAUUGCGCAAUGGAGGCAACUCUGACGCAGCCAUGCCGCGUGUGUGAAGAAGGCCCUCGGGUUGUAAAGCACUUUCAAUUGGGAGAAAAAGCUUGUCGUUAAUAGCGGCAAGCCUUGAUGUUACCUUUAGAAGAAGCACCGGCUAACUCCGUGCCAGCAGCCGCGGUAAUACGGAGGGUGCGAGCGUUAAUCGGAAUUACUGGGCGUAAAGCGCGCGUAGGCGGUUGCUUAAGUCGGAUGUGAAAGCCCCGGGCUCAACCUGGGAACUGCAUUCGAUACUGGGCGACUAGAGUACGAGAGAGGGAGGUAGAAUUCCACGUGUAGCGGUGAAAUGCGUAGAUAUGUGGAGGAAUACCGGUGGCGAAGGCGGCCUCCUGGCUCGAUACUGACGCUGAGGUGCGAAAAGCGUGGGGAGCAAAACAGGAUUAGAUACCCUGGUAGUCCACGCCGUAAACGAUGUCUACUAGCCGUUGGGGUACUUGAGACCUUAGUGGCGCAGCUAACGCACUAAGUAGACCGCCUGGGAGUACGGCCGCAA